RNAcentral lists this ribosomal RNA (406 nucleotides) under uncultured bacterium. RNAcentral's name for it is "partial 16S ribosomal RNA". It matches the Rfam family "Bacterial small subunit ribosomal RNA", at positions 30 to 526 of the family's 1533-position model. The record is from RNAcentral.
AUUGAACGCUGGCGGCAGGCUUAACACAUGCAAGUCGAGCGAGCGGCGGAGGGGUGAGUAAUGUCUGGGAAACGGCCUGAUGGAGGGGGAUAACUACUGGAAACGGUAGCUAAAACCGCAUACCAUCAGAUGGGCCCAGAUGUGAUUAGCUAGUAGGUGGGGUAAUGGCUCACCUAGGCGACGAUACCUAGCUGGUCUGAGAGGGUGACCAGCCACACUGGAACUGAGACACGGCCCAGACUCCUACGGGAGGCAGCAGUGGGGAAUAUUGCACAAUGGGCGCAAGUCUGAUGCAGCAAUGCCGCGUGUGUGAAGAAGGCCUUCGGGUUGUAAAGCACUUUCAGUGGGGAGGCGGUAAUCGAAGAAGAAGCACCGGCUAACUCCGUGCCAGCAGCCGCGGUAAUUC